GAGAGCAGUUACCAUGUCAUUAAUUCCGUACAAGACAGCAGAGGUAACACACUGCAUUUCAUAACACACUGAGAUGGCAACCUGUUGAAUUCCUCCUCCCCUCAGAAAAGCUGUUCGGCCAUGGAAAUUGUGGACUUGCGGCUGUGGAAUACAUUCCUAUUUGUUCUUUGUUACUUUGAAUGCAGAGCUGAGGACUCUGUUGAUCAGCUAGCAGGAUUCCUCACUGCUUCUGAGGGAGAUUCAGUAACUCUGCCCUGUACUUACACCAGCUCCAGCACAGGACUACUGUAUCUGUUCUGGUACCAGCAGAAACCUAAUGGAUUCCCUGCAUACAUGCUGACACGGUUCUCAGAAAUGGGCGAUAAUGAUGAAGGUUUUAAGAAGAGAUUUGAGGCCAAUCUCACCUCAAACUCAGUUCCUUUGACCAUCCAGAAUCUGCAAGUGUCUGACUCUGCUGUGUACUACUGUGCUCUGAGGCCCACAAUCACAGGGAACUCACAGAACACAAUCAAAUAA
Molecule: non-coding RNA, 516 nt
Organism: Alosa sapidissima (American shad)
Lineage: Eukaryota; Metazoa; Chordata; Actinopteri; Clupeiformes; Clupeidae
Source: the annotation of a RefSeq genome assembly